This is a long non-coding RNA of Mytilus californianus (California mussel), 1841 nucleotides long. RefSeq lists it as uncharacterized. The record is from RefSeq and is a predicted model, not a curated record. NCBI's taxonomy places the organism in Eukaryota, Metazoa, Mollusca, Bivalvia, Mytilida, Mytilidae. The transcript has 2 exons.
UUUAUACGACUGCAAAAAAUUUUUGCGUUCGUAUAUUGGUAUGAAGUUGGCGUCGUAGUCCGUCGUCGUUCGAAGACACAUUGGUUUUCGCACAAUAACUUUAGUUUAAGUGAAUGGAUCUCUAUGAAAUUUUACCAUAAGGUUCAAUAUCACAAAAGGAAGGUUGGGAUUGAUUUUGGGGGUUAUGGUACCAACAGUUAAGGAAUAAGGGGCCAAAAAUAAGCAUUUUUGUAACUUCCAGACAAUAACUUGUGUGUUAGUGUAUGGAUCUCUCUGACAUUGUACCACAAGGUUUCAUAUCACAAAGGGAAUGCUGGGAUUGAUUUUGGGGGUAAUUGUCUCAAAAUUUUAGGAAUUAGGGGCAGAAAAAGGGGCAAAAAACAAGCAUUUUUCAUGACAAUAACUUGUGUGUAAGUGUAUGGAUCUUUCUGAAAUUGUACUACAAGGUUCCAUAUCACAAAGGAAAAGCUCGAAUUGAGUUUGGGGGUAGUUGCCCAAAACGUUUAGGAAUAAGGGCCAAAAAUAAGCAUUUUUCUAGUUUCCAGAGAAUAAAUUGUGUUCAAGUGUAUGGAUCUCUCUGAAAUUGUACUGCAAGGUACCAUAUCACAAAGGAAAGGCUUGGAUUGAUUUUGGGGGUAAUUGCCUCAAAAUUUUAGGAAUUAGGGGCCAAAUAGGGGCAAAAAACAAGCAUUUUUCUAGUUUCCGGACAAUAACUUGUGUGUAAGUGUAUGGAUCUUUAUGAAAUUGUACUACAAGGUUCCAUAUCACAAAGGGAAAGCUGGAAUUGAGUUUGGGGGUAAUUGCCCAAAAUGUUUAGGAAUAAGGGGCCAAAAAUAACCAUUUUUCUAGUUUCCAGAGAAUAACUUGUGUUCAAGUGUAUGGAUCUCUCUGAAAAAGUACAAUUUCAUAAAGAUCCAUACACUUACACACAAGUACCAUACCACAAAGGGAAGGCUGGGAUUGAGUUUGGGGGGUGAUGAAUCAUAAGGGGGUUCAAAAAAUUUGGGGGGGGAUUUUUUUCCCCUUUUUUUUCUUUAAAAUUUUCCAUUUUAAAUUGGUUAUUUCUGAUUUAUAUAUAAAAGCAAAUAAUGAUAUGGUUUGAAUAGGUAAAUUAAAAAAUUAUAAGUUCUUAGACCACAUUCAUUCUGUGUCAAAUAUUUAAUCACAAUCCAAAUUCAGUGCUGUAUCAAGCUUGAAUGUUGUGUCCAUACUUGCCCCAACUGAUCAGGGUUCGACCUCUGCGGUCGUAUCAAGCUGCGCCCAGCGGAGCAUUUUAUUAUCACUUGCAACACACAUAUUGAAACCCAAUAAUUGGAUUGGGACUUUAUGAAAGUAUGUUUUCUACAGAAAUCUGACUGUUGGGUUCGUUGUUCAAAUUGUUGUACAUUUUUUCAUGUCAAGGCUUUUAAGGAUGUUCGCUUGUCAUGUUUUGAAUUUUUGUUAGAUUUUCAGAAUCCUCUGGUUUUAUCCAUUUGAAAGCCUUAACAAAUUUUGCCCACUAACCCCCAUUUUUCUUUUAUAAAUCUUUUACAUGUAUAAUUAUAAGCCAUCUGUAAAAGUCUUAUAAAAUCUUCGUUAUUUUUUAAUAGUUUUUGAGAACUUAAACUUGUCAAUGAUAAAGCUAUGAAUGAUCAAGAGAGAACAUUUUCCCGUCAAAAUUUCAAUGGCUAAUAUCUCGAAAACAAUCACACACGGACCAAUAUUUUUUUUUUGCUCUUUUGGUUCCUUUAUUAAUCCCCUAUCAAUAUAUACUUGUGUUAUGAAAAGCUUGUUAUUUUGAAACUGAGUAGCGAUCUUCCUUAAUAUAUGAAAUAAACUGAAUAAAAUUUGAUACAGACAAA